Loxodonta africana (African savanna elephant) is the source of this 71-nucleotide transfer RNA. It matches the Rfam family "tRNA". Rfam says of the family: Transfer RNA (tRNA) molecules are approximately 80 nucleotides in length. Their secondary structure includes four short double-helical elements and three loops (D, anti-codon, and T loops). The record is from Rfam. Lineage: Eukaryota; Metazoa; Chordata; Mammalia; Proboscidea; Elephantidae.
GCAGUGGUGGUUCAGUGGUAGAAUUCUUCCCUUCCAUGCGAGAGACCCGGGUUCAAUUACUGGCCGAUGCA